This 131-nucleotide small nucleolar RNA is filed under the name Opisthocomus hoazin. The record is from RNAcentral. Lineage: Eukaryota; Metazoa; Chordata; Aves; Opisthocomiformes; Opisthocomidae.
CUGCACUGCUCAGAGCCCGGCUGGUCUUUCCCUGACCUCCUUGGUCUCGGUCUGGUGCAAGAUAAAAUUCCUUCUAGCAGAAGGGCCAGGCUCUUGUCAUGAGCUGUCCCUUUCGAAAGAUGGGUACAAAC